This 797-nucleotide ribosomal RNA is filed under the name uncultured organism. Its description in RNAcentral is "bacterial SSU rRNA". It matches the Rfam family "Bacterial small subunit ribosomal RNA", at positions 34 to 858 of the family's 1533-position model. The record is from RNAcentral.
CGCUAGCGGCGCGCUUAUGCAUGCAAGUCGAGCGAUGAGACUCCUACGGGAGCACAUCAGCGGCAGACGGGUGAGUACACGUAGAUGACGUACCCUCAAGACGGGUGAUACGGAUGGAAACAUGCGCUAAUACCGGAUGACCUUACGAUGUCAGAAUGGUAAGGAAAGCUACGGCGCUUGAGGAGCGGUCUGCGGCCCAUCAGCUAGUUGGUAGGGUAAAGGCCUACCAAGGCGAAGACGGGUAGGGGGUGUGAGAGCACGGCCCCCCACAAUGGAACUGAGACACGGCCCAUACUCCUACGGGAGGCAGCAGCAGGGAAUAUUGCACAAUGGACGGAAGUCUGAUGCAGCGACGCCGCGUGAGUGAAGAAGGCCUUCGGGUUGUAAAACUCUUUUGAGGGGGAAGAGCGAGGACGGUACCCCUGGAAUAAGCGUCGGCUAACUACGUGCCAGCAGCCGCGGUAAGACGUAGGACGCGAGCGUUAUCCGGAUUUACUGGGCGUAAAGCGUCUGUAGGCGGAUGUGUAAGUUGGGCGUGAAAGCUCCGGGCUUAACCCGGAGAGGCCGUUCAAUACUGCAUAACUUGAGGGUGUCAGAGGGGAGCGGAAUUCCCGGUGUAGCGGUAAAAUGCGCAGAGAUCGGGAGGAACACCAGUGGCGGAGGCGGUUCCCUGGGGCUCACCUGACGCUGAGAGACGAAAGCUAGGGAAGCGAACAGGAUUAGAGACCCUGGUAGUCCUAGCCCUAAACGAUGAAUGCUAGGUGUGGGAUCGAAUGGUCCCGUGCCGGAGCGAACGC